This 603-nucleotide ribosomal RNA is filed under the name uncultured freshwater bacterium. Its description in RNAcentral is "bacterial SSU rRNA". It matches the Rfam family "Bacterial small subunit ribosomal RNA", at positions 8 to 607 of the family's 1533-position model. The record is from RNAcentral.
AGAGUUUGAUCCUGGCUCAGGAUGAACGCUAGCGGCAGGCCUAAUACAUGCAAGUCGAGCGGCAAGUCGAGGAGUAAUCUAAGACCUAGAGCGGCGCACGGGUGCGUAACGCGUAUGCAACCUACCUUAUACUGGGGGAUAGCCCGGAGAAAUCUGGAUUAAUACCCCAUGGCACAUAUUGAGGGCAUCUGAGAUAUGUUAAAGAUUUAUUGGUAUAAGAUGGGCAUGCGUCUGAUUAGCUAGUUGGCGGUGUAACGGACCACCAAGGCGACGAUCAGUAGGGGUUCUGAGAGGAAGGUCUCCCACACUGGCACUGAGAUACGGGCCAGACUCCUACGGGAGGCAGCAGUAGGGAAUAUUGGGCAAUGGUCGGAAGACUGACCCAGCCAUGCCGCGUGCAGGAAGAAGGCCCUCUGGGUUGUAAACUGCUUUUAUCUGGGAAGAAAAAGGCCAUGCGUGGCAAAUUGCCGGUACCAGAUGAAUAAGCACCGGCUAACUCCGUGCCAGCAGCCGCGGUAAUACGGAGGGUGCAAGCGUUGUCCGGAUUUAUUGGGUUUAAAGGGUGCGUAGGCGGCUAUUUAAGUCAGCGGUGAAAGACUUCAG